AACGUAGGACAUGGAGGGAGGUUCCUUGUAGUCUUCCUUGCGCUGUUGCGAACAUGAAGGAGCUUCGGUGGAUUUCUUGCUUUGGAUAUCCAGGAACUUCAUUGCUAAGAAAUUUCAACCAACUAAGCUUUCUUAUCUACGAUUGGAUUCAUUCUUUCUAGAGCAACUUUGGGAGGGUGAAAAGAAUUACCAGAUCUCCCAUCAAGCAUAGCUGUUCUCCGAGCAUAUGGGUGCGACAAGCUUAAAAUUGUAGAUCUUCCAAUAAAUCUUAAAUGGUUGUGGAGAAUCUCAUUUUCAAUGAAGAGUAUAUCGGGUGAUGUUCAUAGAAAAGUACAAUCGAUGCUUCAGGGAAAAGAUAACUCCAUCAGUCUCUUUUUUGAUGCCGAAAACAUUCCAACAAGAGACUUUGCAAGGAGAAGAUUAAUGUUAGAGCUUCCAAGGAAUUGGUACAAUGAAUUCAGUGGAUUCUUAAUAUGCAUUAAAG
Long non-coding RNA from Cynara cardunculus var. scolymus (artichoke), 484 nucleotides. RefSeq lists it as uncharacterized. NCBI's taxonomy places the organism in Eukaryota, Viridiplantae, Streptophyta, Magnoliopsida, Asterales, Asteraceae. The transcript is spliced from 3 exons. The record is from RefSeq and is a predicted model, not a curated record.